AUGGCUCUCACGACGCACCCGCCGCUCCGGCUCCACGCGCGCCCUCCCGCCCUCGCCGCCGCCCACCGGCGCCGCGCGCUCCUCCCGCCGCGCCGAGCCCGCCCCUGCCGCUGCUGCGCCGGCGCCGGCGCCGACGCGGGGAAGGCGCAGGCGAGGCGGGCGUACCCGUACGACGAGAUCGAGCCGAGGUGGCAGGCGCACUGGGAGGAGCGCCGCACGUUCCGCACCCCGGACAUCGGCGACGGCCUCGACACCUCCAGGCCCAAGUGCUACAUCCUCGACAUGUUUCCCUACCCCAGUGGGGCUGGGCUGCAUGUUGGGCACCCCCUUGGGUACACGGCGACCGACAUUCUGUCGAGAUUCAAGCGUAUGAAAGGCUUCAAUGUCCUGCAUCCCAUGGGAUGGGACGCGUUUGGCCUUCCUGCCGAGCAGUACGCUAUCCAGACGGGAACCCACCCAAAGACUACAACUGCGCGCAACAUUGACCACUUCCGCACACAGCUUAAAUCAUUAGGAUUUUCAUAUGACUGGGAUCGUGAAAUCUCCACAACAGAACCGGCCUACUAUAAAUGGACGCAAUGGAUUUUUCUUCAACUACUGAAAAGAGGAUUGGCUUACCAGGCUGAGGUACCGGUCAACUGGUGCCCUGCUCUUGGGACUGUUCUGGCGAAUGAAGAAGUAAUUGAUGGUGUAAGUGAACGUGGCGGUUAUCCUGUUAUAAGAAAGCCAAUGCGCCAGUGGAUGCUGAGGAUAACAUCUUAUGCUGAUCGACUUCUUGAAGAUUUGGAUGAUCUAGAUUGGCCUGAGAGCAUAAAAGAAAUGCAAAGAAAUUGGAUAGGGAGAUCGGAAGGUGCUGAGCUUGAAUUUUGUGCAGUUGACCAGGAAGGACAUGAUUUAGGUGCCAAAUUGACAGUUUAUACAACAAGGCCUGACACCAUUUUUGGUGCAACAUAUCUUGUUGUAGCACCUGAGCAUGUUUUGUUGCCAUCUCUAACAUCUGAGGAACAACGCGUGCAUGUAGAGGAAUACACAGAAGUUGCAGCAAGAAAGAGUGAACUUGAGAGAACUGAACUCCAGAAGGAAAAAACUGGAGUUUUCAGUGGUUCUUAUGCUAAGAACCCAGCAACCGGGGAGAUAAUCCCAAUUUGGGUGGCAGAUUAUGUCUUAGCAAGCUACGGCACUGGGGCUAUCAUGGCGGUGCCUGCACAUGAUUCCCGUGACCAUGAGUUUGCCUUGAAAUAUGAACUUCCAAUCAUUAAGGUUGUAAGUCCACCCAAUGGCAAUUGUGAUCCCGAGGAGGCUUAUGCAGAUGAUGGUAUCAUGAUAAACUCAUCCAGUUCUUCAUCUGGGUUAAAUAUCAAUGGUAUGCUUUCACAAGAUGCUGCUUUAGAAGUUACUGCUUGGGUAGAGAGUAAUGGAUUUGGAAAGAAAAAGGUAAACUACAAGCUUCGAGAUUGGCUUUUUGCUAGACAACGUUAUUGGGGCGAACCUUUCCCUGUUAUUUACCUUGAUGAUACGAAUGAAAUGGUGCCUCUUACAGAAAACCAGUUGCCUUUAACUCUUCCUGAAUUGGAUGACUUCACUCCUACUGGUACCGGGGAGCCCCCUUUGACCAAAGCAGCAGAUUGGGUUAGAACCACCGAUCUUUUAACUGGGAAGCCUGCAAGAAGAGAAACAAGCACCAUGCCACAAUGGGCGGGUUCAUGCUGGUACUAUUUGAGAUUCAUGGAUCCAAAAAAUUCCAGCACAUUGGUUGACAAGGCUAAAGAAAGUUAUUGGGGUCCAGUAGACAUCUAUGUCGGUGGUGCUGAACAUUCUGUCUUGCAUUUGCUGUAUGCAAGAUUUUGGCAUAAGGUUCUGUAUGAUAUUGGCGUGGUGUCCACUAAAGAGCCCUUCAAGUGCUUGAUAAACCAAGGAUUAAUACUAGGAGAAGUUGAGUAUACUGCAUAUAGAGACAACGAAGGCAAAUGGGUUUCUGCAGACUCAGAUUCAAAUCUGAGUGAUUGCAUCCAAGAAAAAGUACCAGCAGAUAAGAUCACAAAAGUUGGAGAUCAUUAUGUGCUGAAGGAUGAUCCAAACAUACGUCUAAAUGCCCGCGCAUACAAAAUGAGUAAAAGUCGAGGAAAUGUCAUCAACCCCGAUGACGUGGUUUCAGAAUAUGGUGCCGAUUCUCUCCGCUUAUAUGAGAUGUUCAUGGGACCGUUGAGAGAUUCAAAAACAUGGAGCACUGGUGGAAUUGAAGGUGUGCAUCGGUUUCUAGGUAGGACUUGGAGACUCGUGGUUGGCGCACCAUUACCGGAUGGAUCAUAUAAAGAUGGAACUACGGCAACUGAUGUCGAGCCAACCUUUGAGCAGCUCCGUGUUCUUCACAAAUGCAUUGCAAGGGUUUCAGAGGAGAUUCAGGAAACAAGGUUUAACACUGCAAUUUCCGCAAUGAUGGAGUUUGUGAAUGCAGCAUACAAGUGGGACACUCAACCGAAAUCUGUUAUAGACUCCUUUGUUCUGUUGCUAGCACCUUUUGCACCACACUUGGCUGAGGAGCUUUGGUUUCGUCUUGGACACUCACAAUCAUUGGCUCAUGAACAGUUUCCUGAGGCAAAGAAUGAGUAUUUGAAGGAAUCAGAGAUUGUGCUCCCCGUGCAAAUCAAUGGGAAGACCAGGGGUACAAUCCUUGUUGACAAGGAGUGCUCCGAGGAUGAUGUGUUCCAAAUAGCAGCCUCAGACGAGAGACUCUCCAAAUAUUUGGAUGGGAAGGCCAUCAGGAAGAGAAUUUAUGUGCCUGGAAGGAUCUUGAAUGUUAUACUAGAUCAACAAAAGGCAAGGGUGUGA
Molecule: ribosomal RNA, 2829 nt
Filed under: Triticum aestivum (bread wheat)
Lineage: Eukaryota; Viridiplantae; Streptophyta; Magnoliopsida; Poales; Poaceae
Description: partial small subunit ribosomal RNA
Source: RNAcentral